Molecule: ribosomal RNA, 795 nt
Filed under: uncultured bacterium
Lineage: Bacteria
Description: bacterial SSU rRNA
Rfam family: Bacterial small subunit ribosomal RNA
Source: RNAcentral
GUCGAACGCUUCUUUUUCCACCGGAGCUUGCUCCACCGGAAAAAAAAGAGUGGCGAACGGGUGAGUAACACGUGGGUAACCUGCCCAUCAGAAGGGGAUAACACUUGGAAACAGGUGCUAAUACCGUAUAACAAUCGAAACCGCAUGGUUUUGAUUUGAAAGGCGCUUUCGGGUGUCGCUGAUGGAUGGACCCGCGGUGCAUUAGCUAGUUGGUGAGGUAACGGCUCACCAAGGCCACGAUGCAUAGCCGACCUGAGAGGGUGAUCGGCCACAUUGGGACUGAGACACGGCCCAAACUCCUACGGGAGGCAGCAGUAGGGAAUCUUCGGCAAUGGACGAAAGUCUGACCGAGCAACGCCGCGUGAGUGAAGAAGGUUUUCGGAUCGUAAAACUCUGUUGUUAGAGAAGAACAAGGAUGAGAGUAACUGUUCAUCCCUUGACGGUAUCUAACCAGAAAGCCACGGCUAACUACGUGCCAGCAGCCGCGGUAAUACGUAGGUGGCAAGCGUUGUCCGGAUUUAUUGGGCGUAAAGCGAGCGCAGGCGGUUUCUUAAGUCUGAUGUGAAAGCCCCCGGCUCAACCGGGGAGGGUCAUUGGAAACUGGGAGACUUGAGUGCAGAAGAGGAGAGUGGAAUUCCAUGUGUAGCGGUGAAAUGCGUAGAUAUAUGGAGGAACACCAGUGGCGAAGGCGGCUCUCUGGUCUGUAACUGACGCUGAGGCUCGAAAGCGUGGGGAGCAAACAGGAUUAGAUACCCUGGUAGUCCACGCCGUAAACGAUGAGUGCUAAGUGUUGGA